RNAcentral lists this small nuclear RNA (160 nucleotides) under Ananas comosus (pineapple). RNAcentral's name for it is "U1 spliceosomal RNA". It matches the Rfam family "U1 spliceosomal RNA". From Rfam's summary of the family: U1 is a small nuclear RNA (snRNA) component of the spliceosome (involved in pre-mRNA splicing). Its 5' end forms complementary base pairs with the 5' splice junction, thus defining the 5' donor site of an intron. There are significant differences in sequence and secondary structure between metazoan and yeast U1 snRNAs, the latter being much longer (568 nucleotides as compared to 164 nucleotides in human). Lineage: Eukaryota; Viridiplantae; Streptophyta; Magnoliopsida; Poales; Bromeliaceae. The record is from Rfam by way of RNAcentral.
AUACUUACCUGGGCGGGGUCGAUGGGCGGUCAGGAAGGCCCAUGGCCUAGAUCAGCGGUCCACAUUGCACGCGGUGGGUGCGCUGGUCUACCUUCUCCCCAGGUGGGAGAGUGGACGUCGUAAUUUGUGACAGCAGGGGUACGCGUCCGCGCGGCCCCUA